GGGGUUGUAGCUCAGUGGUAGAGCGCUUGCCUAGCAUGCAUGAGGCACUGGGUUCGAUCCCCAACACCACA
This 71-nucleotide transfer RNA is filed under the name Marmota monax (woodchuck). RNAcentral's name for it is "tRNA.Ala". It matches the Rfam family "tRNA". Rfam says of the family: Transfer RNA (tRNA) molecules are approximately 80 nucleotides in length. Lineage: Eukaryota; Metazoa; Chordata; Mammalia; Rodentia; Sciuridae. The record is from RNAcentral.